UUCAAUAUCCCCAUACAUUACAAGAAAGAAAGUAACAUACAUGCCACUCACUGAUUUAAGCAAACAUCAAAAGACCACAUCUUACAAGUCGAUUUGGGCGAUCUUCGGAACAUGUACCGGGAACUCAUGGAUCUCACUUGUCCAUGGGUUUUUCUCUUUUGUCGGGUCGAUAGUCCGUAGAGCUCUCCAAACCGCACUGUUACACUUGAAACCUGACCCGAAAGCAAUUUGCCACGAUCGGUCUCCCUUCUUUAUUCUACCUUUAGCUUCACAGUAUGCUAGUUCAUACCACAAAGAGCUACUUGAAGUGUUACCAAAUCUAUAGAGCGUCAUUCGGGAUGGUUCCAUGUGCCACUCCGAUAACUCGAGAUUCUUUUCUAACUCGUCUAGGACCGCCCUUCCUCCCGCGUGAAUGCAAAAAUGCUCAAAUGCAAGCUUGAAAUCCGGGAUAUACGGUUUAAUUUUCAUUUUGAAUACUUUCCUCGCGACUAGUGUCACGAAAAACAAGAGCUGUUCAGACAUGGGUAACACUAACGGGCCAAGAGUCGUGAUGUUGGUUUUCAAGGCCUCACCCGCAACAGCCAUAAGAUCUUUAGAAAGAGCGACUCCAAUCUUUUUCUCGUUGUCCUCUUCUUGGAAUACACAACUGUAGCAUUUGUCGUCCGCACCCUUAUGGGUGCGAACGGUAUGCACUAGUUGAUACUUUGAGCGUCGACGGUCACUCGACCUGUUAGACAAGAGAAUCGCAGCACCGCCCAUACGGAAAAGACAGUUUGACAAGAGCAUAGAUCGAUUGUUCCCAAAGUACCAGUUCAAUGUUAUGUUUUCCAUGCUAACCACCAAAGCAUAUGAAUUUGGAUACCUGUAAAAGUUGUUUGGCAAGAUCAAUAGAGAUCAAUCCAGCACUGCAACCCAUCCCUCCAAGAUUAUAGCUCAAAAUGUUACCUCUAAGCUUGUAAUGAUUCACAACCAUAGAACUCAAAGAAGGUGUAGGGCAAAACAAGCUACAAUUCACGAUCAAAACACCGAUAUCCUUGGCCUUCACUCCGGUUUUCCUCAACAAGUCAUCAAUCGCACCGAACAUCACCAUCUCCGCCUCCUUCCGAGCCUCGGCCAUACACGGAUUCGGUGGAACCUGCAACACCGCAUCAGGAAAAUACGUCUUCUGACCUAAUCCAGAUCGUUCCAGAAUCUUCUUCUGAAACGCCAAAUUCUCGUCGUUAAACGUACCUGCCAGACCCGAAUGCUGCAUGAAUGUUUCGCGACUGACGGUGUUGGAAUCGUUCGGUUUGUAACAGGCGAAAUCGACCAAAUAAACCUUGUUUGGGCGGCUCAUGAAGUAGAGUGUGGCGAGAAACACGAUGAGCGUUGAGCAUAUGAUGACGGUGAGUAAAUUGAAGCGGAGGUGGUGCCAUAGGUUGAUGAGAUCUUGUGAUGUGAGGGUUGAGAGAUGAACGGAGACGACUGCGAGGAGUGGGAUUAAGAGGAGGUACAUGAAAUGUGAGAUCAGGUAAUGGUAACCUAAUUUCACGUAUUUCAGUUUCACUGAUAACAGGAAGUUUGGGAGAUCCGCCAUUGUUAAUGUUCGAACUCAAAUCGGUUGGUUGAUGUGUGUGUGUGUGUUUGGGUGUGUGAGAGAGAGAAGGAAUUAAAAAAAAAAAAGUGGUUAUUUAAAGGAAGCAACUAACGACUUUC
Molecule: long non-coding RNA, 1695 nt
Filed under: Helianthus annuus (common sunflower)
Lineage: Eukaryota; Viridiplantae; Streptophyta; Magnoliopsida; Asterales; Asteraceae
Description: hypothetical non coding rna
Source: RNAcentral